GACGAACGCUGGCGGCGUGCUUAACACAUGCAAGUCGAACGGAAAGACCCUGCUUUUGUUGUGUGCUCGAGUGGCGAACGGGUGAGUAACACGUGAGUAACCUGCCCUUGACUUGGGGAUAACUUCAGGAAACUGUGGCUAAUACCGCAUAGGAGCUCCUGCUGCCUGGUGGUGGUUGGCAAGUUUCGGUGGUUGGGGAUGGACUCGCGGCUUAUCUGCUUGUUGGUGGGGUAGUGGCUUACCAAGGCCUUGACGGGUAGCCGGCCUGAGAGGGUGACCGGCCACAUUGGGACGGAGAGACGGCCCAGACUCCUUCGGGCGGCAGCAGGGGGGAAUAUUGCACGAUGGGCGGAGGACAGAUGCAGCAACGCCGCGUGCGGGAUGAAGGCCGUCGGGUUGUAUACCGCUUUCGCCUGUGACGAAGCGUGAGUGACGGUAAUGGGUAAAGAAGCACCGGCUAACUACGUG
This 468-nucleotide ribosomal RNA is filed under the name uncultured bacterium. RNAcentral's name for it is "partial 16S ribosomal RNA". It matches the Rfam family "Bacterial small subunit ribosomal RNA", at positions 28 to 507 of the family's 1533-position model. The record is from RNAcentral.